UUUCAAUGGUGGGAAAUUCUACAGUAAAAAAUAUUUUUUUUCUGUGAAUCACGAUACAGCAAUUUCUAGAGGAUUUUUUUUUUCCCAGAAAUGGAAAGCUGAAAAGCUAGAUUCCACACUUUCAUUGGAAUUUUAACUUCAGAAAGGUAACUUUGCUGAUUUAUUUCCACAGUUUACUCUAGUCAAGUUAACUAUUUGUUCAACUAAUUUAUUAUUUAUUAUUAUUUGUUCAAGAGUGCACUGAGAGAGAGAGAGGUAAAAGAGCGGGACACUUCCUAGUAAACUUGUGUCUUGUGUGCAUUUUAUUAGCAAAAAAAAAAAAAAAAAUAGUGCAUAAUUUCGAUCGAUUUUCUAAUCUGGCAACAUUCGAUAACGUCAUCAGUUUAGAGAAGGAUAGCAUUGUUGAAUAAAAAUUAAAUUGGAAUUGUGUAUGUGUCUGUUGGUGCACUAGCAGGAGUUUUCUCCAGCCAGCUAACGUCAACUGUCACCGCCGACACCGCGUGCGUGCGUGUGGAGCAGUGAAGCCAAGCCAGCCGACUCCAGAGUCCAGACUCGACAGAAAACGCAGUUAGAGGAAACUUCCCCCCAAGCAGACGUUGAGGACCAGAUUUCUCUGCCAAGCACUCUAAGACUCAUCAUGCUCGGAGAGUCCAUUCUGGGGGCAAAUAGGUGGAUGCUUUCCAUCGAGGGCAGAGUUCUCCAACCAAAUCCAACUGAGUGACCGUUUUGAAUUCACUUCUGCUCUGGCUGUCCUUUUUGCAUCAUACUAUAUAUUUAACAUGGAAUAUCCUGCGGAGGCAGCCACCACAUUAGAAUGUAUCCAGAGGUAAGCACUUAUUUGUUGUUGAUAUAUUUUUGACUAGGAAUGGGAACAAAUAUUUGAGUACUCAUUCUUUAACCACCUACCUGAUUAGUAAAAUACUUAUCAAAGUGUUUAUUUGGGUUUAUAUGGACUGUUGUGUAAUUUUUAAACAUCAAACUUUUAUUUUAACUCACCAUGCAAAUGGUAGAAAAGUAAGCACAGCCGCUCUAAAGUCUAAAAUUCAUGCACAUCACAUUUUCUUUUCGUCACUUUAUUACUAAAGUACUUGGUUUUUAGAGUA
Molecule: long non-coding RNA, 1103 nt
Organism: Carassius auratus (goldfish)
Lineage: Eukaryota; Metazoa; Chordata; Actinopteri; Cypriniformes; Cyprinidae
Exons: 3
Source: RefSeq, a predicted model, not a curated record